Molecule: ribosomal RNA, 207 nt
Filed under: uncultured bacterium
Lineage: Bacteria
Description: partial 16S ribosomal RNA
Rfam family: Bacterial small subunit ribosomal RNA
Source: RNAcentral
AGCGUAGGCGGUUUGGUAAGUCAGGUGUGAAAUCCCGGGGCUCAACCCCGGAACUGCAUUUGAUACUGCCGGACUUGAGUAAUGGAGGGGUAGCUGGAAUUCUCGGUGUAGCAGUGAAAUGCGUGGAUAUCGAGAGGAACACUCGUGGCGAAGGCGAGCUACUGGACAUUUACUGACGCUGAGGCUCGAAGGCCAGGGUAGCGAAAG